UAUUUUCGUCAAGAAUUUGGUUGAUUGUUGAAGAUAGUUCAAUAAUCAUUAAAAGGGAAUUAGGUGAUUCUUCUAGAAAAAACCUGAGCUGUUCCCGCAACUGUAAGCUUUGUCUGUAAAAAGAUGCUUGUAGUAAAACUUCAAAAUCCACUGUUUUAAAAACGGGAAGGAGCUACUACAAGACGCAAGCCAGGAGACCUGCCAAUAUUCAUUUAAUUAA
RNAcentral lists this non-coding RNA (220 nucleotides) under Mesonia phycicola. The record is from RNAcentral. Lineage: Bacteria; Pseudomonadati; Bacteroidota; Flavobacteriia; Flavobacteriales; Flavobacteriaceae.